GGGGCCCGCACAAGCGGCGGAGCAUGCGGAUUAAUUCGAUGCAACGCGAAGAACCUUACCAAGGCUUGACAUACACCGGUAACGCCCAGAGAUGGGUGCCCCUUUGUGGUCGGUGUACAGGUGGUGCAUGGUUGUCGUCAGCUCGUGUCGUGAGAUGUUGGGUUAAGUCCCGCAACGAGCGCAACCCUCGUCCUAUGUUGCCAGCGGGUCAUGCCGGGGACUCAUGGGAGACUGCCGGGGUCAACUCGGAGGAAGGUGGGGAUGACGUCAAAUCAUCAUGCCCCUUAUGUCUUGGGCUUCACGCAUGCUACAAUGGCCGGUACAAAGGGCUGCGAUACCGCGAGGUGGAGCGAAUCCCAGAAAGCCGGUCUCAGUUCGGAUUGGGGUCUGCAACUCGACCCCAUGAAGUCGGAGUCGCUAGUAACCGCAGAUCAGCAACGCUGCGGUGAAUACGUUCCCGGGCCUU
RNAcentral lists this ribosomal RNA (466 nucleotides) under uncultured Curtobacterium sp. RNAcentral describes it as "bacterial SSU rRNA". It matches the Rfam family "Bacterial small subunit ribosomal RNA", at positions 916 to 1382 of the family's 1533-position model. The record is from RNAcentral. Lineage: Bacteria; Bacillati; Actinomycetota; Actinomycetes; Micrococcales; Microbacteriaceae.